This 467-nucleotide ribosomal RNA is filed under the name uncultured bacterium. RNAcentral describes it as "partial 16S ribosomal RNA". It matches the Rfam family "Bacterial small subunit ribosomal RNA", at positions 28 to 506 of the family's 1533-position model. The record is from RNAcentral.
GACGAACGCUGGCGGCGUGCUUAACACAUGCAAGUCGAACGGAAAGGCCCUGCUUUUGUGGGGUGCUCGAGUGGCGAACGGGUGAGUAACACGUGAGUAACCUGCCCUUGACUUUGGGAUAACUUCAGGAAACUGGGGCUAAUACCGGAUAGGAGCUCCUGCUGCAUGGUGGGGGUUGGAAAGUUUCGGCGGUUGGGGAUAGACUCGCGGCUUAUCAGCUUGUUGGUGGGGUAGUGGCUUACCAAGGCUUUGACGGGUAGCCGGCCUGAGAGGGUGACCGGCCACAUUGGGACUGAGAUACGGCCCAGACUCCUACGGGAGGCAGCAGUGGGGAAUAUUGCACAAUGGGCGGAAGCCUGAUGCAGCAACGCCGCGUGCGGGAUGACGGCCUUCGGGUUGUAAACCGCUUUCGCCUGUGACGAAGCGUGAGUGACGGUAAUGGGUAAAGAAGCACCGGCUAACUACGU